UAAGAUGUCCGGGGCCGCACGCGCGCUACACUGAAGGAGACAGCGGGUCUUCUCCCCGCCCGACCGGGUCGGGUAAACCGCUGAAACUCCUUCGUGAUAGGGACAGGGGAUUGUAACUGUUCCCCUCGAACGAGGAAUUCCUUGUAGUCGCGGAUCAUCAGUCCGCGGCGACUAAGUCACUGCCCUUUGUACACAUCGCCCGUCGAUGCUACCGAUUGAACGGAUCAGUGAGGUCUUUGGACCGGUGUUCUCUGCGGACUCGCGUCCGGGGAGGAUCCUGCCGGAAAGAUGACCGAACUCGUUCGUUUAGAGGAAGUAAAAGUCGUAACAAAGUUUCC
Molecule: ribosomal RNA, 338 nt
Filed under: Pribumia atrigularis
Lineage: Eukaryota; Metazoa; Arthropoda; Arachnida; Araneae; Pholcidae
Description: partial 18S ribosomal RNA
Rfam family: Eukaryotic small subunit ribosomal RNA
Source: RNAcentral